ACGGUAGCAGGUAAGUACUUGUACUUAUGCUGACGAGUGGCGGACGGGUGAGUAAUGCUUGGGGAUCUGGCUUAUGGAGGGGGAUAACGACGGGAAACUGUCGCUAAUACCGCGUAGAAUCGAGAGAUGAAAGUGUGGGACCUUCGGGCCACAUGCCAUAGGAUGAACCCAAGUGGGAUUAGGUAGUUGGUAGGGUAAUGGCCUACCAAGCCGACGAUCCCUAGCUGGUCUGAGAGGAUGACCAGCCACACCGGGACUGAGACACGGCCCGGACUCCUACGGGAGGCAGCAGUGGGGAAUAUUGCGCAAUGGGGGCAACCCUGACGCAGCCAUGCCGCGUGAAUGAAGAAGGCCUUCGGGUUGUAAAGUUCUUUCGGUGACGAGGAAGGUUGUUGUGUUAAUAGCGCAACAAAUUGACGUUAAUCACAGAAGAAGCACCGGCUAACUCCGUGCCAGCAGCCGCGGUAAUACGGAGGGUGCGAGCGUUAAUCGGAAUAACUGGGCGUAAAGGGCACGCAGGCGGACUUUUAAGUGAGGUGUGAAAUCCCCGGGCUUAACCUGGGAAUUGCAUUUCAGACUGGGGGUCUAGAGUACUUUAGGGAGGGGUAGAAUUCCACGUGUAGCGGUGAAAUGCGUAGAGAUGUGGAGGAAUACCGAAGGCGAAGGCAGCCCCUUGGGAAUGUACUGACGCUCAUGUGCGAAAGCGUGGGGAGCAAACAGGAUUAGAUACCCU
This 733-nucleotide ribosomal RNA is filed under the name Aggregatibacter aphrophilus. RNAcentral describes it as "bacterial SSU rRNA". It matches the Rfam family "Bacterial small subunit ribosomal RNA", at positions 66 to 788 of the family's 1533-position model. The record is from RNAcentral. Lineage: Bacteria; Pseudomonadati; Pseudomonadota; Gammaproteobacteria; Pasteurellales; Pasteurellaceae.